GCCUGGGUGGCUCAGUCGGUUAAGCGUCUGACUUCAGCUCAGGUCAUGAUCUCACGGCUUGUGGGUUCGAGCCCCGCGUCGGGCU
Molecule: transfer RNA, 85 nt
Filed under: Crocuta crocuta (spotted hyena)
Lineage: Eukaryota; Metazoa; Chordata; Mammalia; Carnivora; Hyaenidae
Also listed under: 1 other name
Rfam family: tRNA
About the family: Transfer RNA (tRNA) molecules are approximately 80 nucleotides in length. Their secondary structure includes four short double-helical elements and three loops (D, anti-codon, and T loops). Further hydrogen bonds mediate the characteristic L-shaped molecular structure. tRNAs have two regions of fundamental functional importance: the anti-codon, which is responsible for specific mRNA codon recognition, and the 3' end, to which the tRNAs corresponding amino acid is attached (by aminoacyl-tRNA synthetases). tRNAs cope with the degeneracy of the genetic code in two manners: having more than one tRNA (with a specific anti-codon) for a particular amino acid; and 'wobble' base-pairing, i.e. permitting non-standard base-pairing at the 3rd anti-codon position.
Source: Rfam by way of RNAcentral